UUCGACUCGAGCGAAGCGAGAGAACGUUGCCGCAGGCAACGGCCCGAAG
This 49-nucleotide small RNA is filed under the name Klebsiella pneumoniae. RNAcentral's name for it is "RtT RNA". It matches the Rfam family "RtT RNA", at positions 42 to 89 of the family's 130-position model. From Rfam's summary of the family: This family represents a bacterial cis-regulatory element known as RtT RNA. Lineage: Bacteria; Pseudomonadati; Pseudomonadota; Gammaproteobacteria; Enterobacterales; Enterobacteriaceae. The record is from RNAcentral.